RNAcentral lists this long non-coding RNA (3770 nucleotides) under Manihot esculenta (cassava). RNAcentral describes it as "long non-coding RNA (MESC_LNC000991)". The record is from RNAcentral. Lineage: Eukaryota; Viridiplantae; Streptophyta; Magnoliopsida; Malpighiales; Euphorbiaceae.
AGAGCAUCAUGAGAAAAAUGAAGCAAAGCGAGAGAAUGAAGGAGCUAGCUACAACACCAACAUGAUUAAAACAGAGCUAGCUACAACAGCUACAGUAGGAGUUGAGGGAUUUGCCUUCCAUAAGGAUCUUAAGAAGAAAGAAGUCAAGACAGAGGAUGAAGAAGCAUGUGGAAAGAAGUACUAUGACAAGGAAAGUGAAAAAGGUAUUGGCUGCAAAGAAGAGGAGAUGCACUGCGAUCAUUUUGAGCACUUGAGUAAACUUGGUGUCGCUAUUGACGGCACUUAUGCCAUGGUACUCUUGAAUUAUUGAUCAUUUUAUAUAAUAAUAAUAGUUUUUUUGGAUUACAUGGUUAUGAACUUAGAUAUAUUUAAUUUUUUAUGUUAGCAUGAUAAGUGCGAGGAGAAGAAAGAUUCAAAGAAUGCCUACAUUCAUAAGAUAAAAGAGGAGAUAGUUACAGUAGCUGCGGUAGGAGCUAAGGGAUCUGCCCUCCAAGAGCAUCAUGAGAAAAAAGAAGUAAAGAAGGAGAAUGAAGGAGCUAGCUACAAUAGCUACAUGAUAAAAAAAGAGCUAGCUACGGUAGGAGUUGAGGGAUUUGCCUUCCAUGAGGAUCUUGAGAAGAAAGAAGUCAAGAAAGAGAAUGAAGAAGCAUAUGGAAAGAAGCACUACCCCAAGGAAAGCAUAGAAGCUAUUGGCUGCAAUGAAGAAGAGAUGCACCACGGUCAUCUUGAGCACUUGAGUAAACUUGGUGUUAGUAUUGCUAACACUUAUGCUAUGGUACUCUUGUAUUGUUGAUUAUUCUAUACAAUAAUAAUAUUUUUUUUUCGAUUACAUGUCAUCAAUUUAGAUAUAUUUAAUUUAUUUAUGUCAGUGUGAUAAGCACGAGGAAGAGUUAGACUCAGAGCAUGCCUACAACUACAAAAUAAAAGAGGAGAUAGUUACAACAGCUGCGGUAGGAGUUGAGGGAUAUGCCUUACAAGAGCAUCAUAAGAAAAAAGAACUAAAGAAAGAGAUUGAAGGAGCUAGCUACAACACCUACAUGAUAAAAAAAGAGCUAGCUACAGUAUCUACAAUAGGAGUUGAUGGAUUUACAUUCAAUGAGGAUCUUGAGAAGCAAGAAGUCAAGAAAGAGGAUGAAGAAUCAUAUGGAAAGAAGCACUACCCCAAGGAAAGCGAAGAAGCGAUUGGCUGCAAAGAAGAGGAGAUGCACCACGAUCAACUUGAGCACUUCAGUAAACUCGCUGUUGGUGUGGUGAACACUUAUGCUAUGGUACUCUUAAAUAGUUGACUAUUUUAUAUAAUAAUAAUAGUUUUUUUGGAUUAUAUGUUAUGAACUUAGAUAUUUUUCUUUCUGCAUGAUAAGCAUGAGGAAAAGAAAGACUCAAAGUAUGCUCACAAUUAUAAGAUAAAAGAGGAGAUAGUUACAGCAGCUGCAGUAGGAGCUGAGGGAUCUGCCUUCCAAGAGCAUCAUGAAAAAAAAGAAGUAAAGAAAGAGAAUGAAGGAGCUAGCUACAAUUGCUACAUGAUAAAAAAAGGGCUAGCUACAGUAGGAGUUAAUGGAUUUGCUUUCAAUGAGGAUCUUGAAAAGAAAGAACCCAAGAAAGAGGAUGAAGAAGGAUAUGAAAAGAUGCACUACAACAAGGAAAGCGAAGAAGCUAUUGGCUACAAAGAAGAGAUGCACCACAAUCAACUUAAGCACUACAGUAAACUUGGUGUUGGUGUUGUUGAAACUUAUGCUAUGGUACUCUUGAAUUUUUUAUCAUUUUAUAUAAUAAUAAUAAUAUUUUUUGGAUUACAUGUUAUGCAUUUAGAUAUAUUUAAUUUGUUUAUGUCAGCGUGAUAAGCACGAGGAAAAGAAAGACUCAGAGCAUACUUACAAUUAUAAGAUAAAUGAGGAGAUAGUUACACUAGCUACGGUAGGAGCUGAGGGGUCUGCCUUCCAAGAGCAUCAUGAGAAAAAAGAAGUAAAGAAAGAGAAUGAAGGAGGUAGCCACAACAACUACAUGAUAAAAAAAGAGCUAGCUACAGCAAGUACAGUAGGAGUUGUGAGAUUUGCCUUCCAUGAGGAUCUUGAAAAGAAAGAAGUCAAGAAAGAGGAUGAAGAAGCCUAUGGAAAGAAGUACUACCAUAACGAAAGCGAAGAAGCUAUUGGCUACAAAGAAGAGGAGAAGCACCAUGAUCAUCUUGAGCACUUGAGUAAACUUAGUGUUGGUGCUGCUGCCACUUAUGCCAUGGUACUCUUAAAUUGUUGAUGAUUUUCUACAAUAAUAAUAGUUUUUUGGAUUACAUGUUAUGAACUUAGAUAUAUUUAAUUUGUUUAUGCCAACAUGAUAAGCACGAGGAAAAGAAAGACUCAAAGCAUGCCUACAACUACAAAAUAAAAGGGGAGAUAGUUACAGUAACUGCGAUAGGAGCUGAGGGAUAUAUCUUCCAAGAGCAUCAUGUGAAAAAUGAAGAAAAGAAAGAGAAUGAAGAAGAUAGCUACAAUAGCUACAUAAUAAAAAAAGAGCUAGCUACAGUAGGAAUUGAUGGAUUUUCCUUCGAUGAGGAUCUUGAGAAGAAAGAAGUCAAGAAAGAUGAUGAAGAAGCGUAUGGAAAGAAGUAUUAUCCAAAGGAAAACGAAGAAGCUAUUGGCUGCAAAGAAGAGGAGAUGCACAACGAUCAACCUGAGCACUUGAGUGAACUUGGUGUUGGUGUUGUUGGAACUUAUGCCGUGGUACCCUUGAAUUGUUGAUCAUUUUAUAUAAGAAUAAUAGUUUUUUGGAUUAUAGGUUAUAAACUUAGAUAUAUUUAAUUUUUUUAUGCCAGCAUGAUAAGCAAGAGAAAAAGAAAGACUCAAAGCUUACCUACAACUAUAAGAUAAAAGAGGAAAUAAUUACUUUAUAAUUGUUGAUCAUUUUAUAUAAUAAUAAUAGUUCUUUGGAUUACAUGUUAUGAACUUAGAUAAACUUAAUUUAUUUAUGUCAGCAGGAUAAGCACCGGGAAAAGAACAACUCAGAGCAUGCCUACAACUAUAAGAUAGAAGAGGAGAUAGUUACAGCAACUACGACGGGAGCUGAAGGAUUUUCCUUCCAAGAGCAUCAUGAUAAAAAAGAAGUAAAGAAAGAAAAUGAAGGAGCUAACUAUAACAACUACAUGAUAAAAAAAGAUCAAGCUACAACAACUAUAGUAGGAGUUGAGGGAUUUGCCUUUCACGAGGAUCAUGAGAAGAAAGAAGACAAGAAAGAGGAUGAAGAAGCAAAUGGAAAGAAGCACUGCCAUAAAGAAAGCGAAGAAGCUAUUGGCUAUAAACAAGAAAAGAUGCACCAUGAUCAUCUUGAGCACUUGAGUAAACUUAGUGUUGGUGUUGCUGACACUUAUGCCAUGGUACUCUUGAAUUGUUGAUCAUUUUAUACAAUAAAAAUAUAUUUUGGAUUACAUGUUAUAAACUUUGAUAUAUUUAAUUUGUUUAUAUCAGCAUUAUAAGAACGAGGAAAAGAAAGAUUCCGAGCAUGCCUACAACCUCAAGAUAAAAGAGGAGAUAAUUACAGCAGCUACAGUAGGACUAGAGGGAUCUGCCUUCCAAGGGCAUCGUGAGAAAAAUGAAGCAAAGAGAGAGAAUGAAGGAGCUAUCUACAACACCAACAUGAUUAAAACAGAGCUAGCUACAACAGCUACAGUAGGAGUUGAGAGAUUUGCCUUCCAUGAGGAUCUUAAGAAGAAAGAAGUCAAGACAGAGGAUGAAGCAGCAUAUGGAAAGAAGUACUAUCACAAGGAAAGUGAAAAAGGUAUU